Molecule: ribosomal RNA, 468 nt
Filed under: uncultured bacterium
Lineage: Bacteria
Description: partial 16S ribosomal RNA
Rfam family: Bacterial small subunit ribosomal RNA
Source: RNAcentral
GACGAACGCUGGCGGCGUGCUUAACACAUGCAAGUCGAACGGAAAGGCCCUGCUUUUGUUGGGUGCUCGAGUGGCGAACGGGUGAGUAACACGUGAGUAACCUGCCCUUGACUUUGGGAUAACUUCAGGAAACUGGGGCUAAUACCGGAUAGGAGCUCCUGCUGCAUGGUGGGGGUUGGAAAGUUUCGGCGGUUGGGGAUGGACUCGCGGCUUAUCAGCUUGUUGGUGGGGUAGUGGCUUACCAAGGCUUUGACGGGUAGCCGGCCUGAGAGGGUGACCGGCCACAUUGGGACUGAGAUACGGCGCAGACUGCAACGGGAGGCAGCAGUGGGGAAUAUUGCACAAUGGGCGGAAGCCUGAUGCAGAAACGCCGCGUGCGGGAUGACGGCCUUCGGGGUGUAAACCGAUGUCGCCGGUGACGAAGCGUGAGUGACGGUAAUGAGUAAAGAAGCACCGGCUAACUACGUG